UUGAACGUUGGCGGCAUGCUUUACACAUGCAAGUCGAACGGUAGACCCUUUCGGGGGUUGAGAGUGGCGAACGGGUGAGUAAUGCGUCGGAACAUACCCAGUCGUGGGGGAUAACGUAGCGAAAGUUACGCUAAUACCGCAUGAGUCCUGAGGGAGAAAGCGGGGGAUCGCAAGACCUCGCGCGAUUGGAGUGGCCGAUGUCAGAUUAGGUAGUUGGUGGGAUAAAGGCUUACCAAGCCGACGAUCUGUAGCUGGUCUGAGAGGACGACCAGCCACACUGGGACUGAGACACGGCCCAGACUCCUACGGGAGGCAGCAGUGGGGAAUUUUGGACAAUGGGCGAAAGCCUGAUCCGGCAAUGCCGCGUGCAGGAUGAAGGCCUUCGGGUUGUAAACUGCUUUUGUACGGAACGAAAAGUCUCGGGAUAAUACCCUGGGACCAUGACGGUACCGUAAGAAUAAGCACCGGCUAACUACGU
Molecule: ribosomal RNA, 478 nt
Filed under: uncultured bacterium
Lineage: Bacteria
Description: bacterial SSU rRNA
Rfam family: Bacterial small subunit ribosomal RNA
Source: RNAcentral